Molecule: long non-coding RNA, 278 nt
Filed under: Ananas comosus (pineapple)
Lineage: Eukaryota; Viridiplantae; Streptophyta; Magnoliopsida; Poales; Bromeliaceae
Description: long non-coding RNA (ACOM_LNC008797)
Source: RNAcentral
UUGUACUCACCCUUUUCUUUUAGGGCCUAGUGGUGCAUAGAGCUGAGAUCAGUAAUUGCCCACUGGGAACUAUAAAUUAUAGUUCUCACGCCCUCUUUUUCUCGAUGUUUUCAGAGCCUUCCACGCAGGGAGAGGCCAGGGAUCGCGGAAAGGGUAUCGCCUCGGGCUAGCGUGCUUACCGAGGGAUCGUUCGAUAGGUGGUCUACCUCUCGUGUUUUCUUUUUGUGAGAGGUUGAGAGUUGUACCCGUAUAUGUAUAGAGACCACCACUUUUGUACU